CUCUGACUCUCGUGCACAGGUUAUAAAUGCUGGAGCACAGCAGGUUUGGGGCUGAAUUCUGAACAGCUUCACUCUUGAAGGGUAAUGCAACUAAAGGUGAAAGCAAUGGCCUGCAGCUGGCAAAUCUGUGGUAUGGAAAGGUCCAGGAUGUCCACACAAGUCCAAAAUCUGAACAUCUGUCUCAGCUUCAAAAAUUCACCUGGAAUAUCAGUGUCACUGGAUACACUUCAGGGCCCAGGAUGAUCCACAUGGGAAGAAAUCCAUGCAAAAAGACAGACGAGGCCAUGUCCCAGCAUAAAAUUCUGCAUGGAAAAGAAGCUGAAUUUCUGUUUAAAAGCUGGGGAUACCUAAUGGAGGAGCAGAAUUCCUUUUGACAUUUUCCCAGUGGUGAUGGCACUUGAGUAAAUCCAGAGCAAGUCUGAAUACUAAAUCUUCUUCAUCUCUCUGGAGUAGUGCAGCAAAUAACAAAGCCAUAGAAAUAAUCACAGACUCAUCAAACAGUUCAGACUGGAUUGGAUCAGGAUGGCGACUGCACAACCUCUCUGGGCAACCUGCUACUAUCUAUGAGCAUCUCAGUGCCCAUCAUUGUGCUUUAUCACCAAAUAGUUCUGUUUAUGCCAAGAAUGUUGUGACAGCCACCAUGACAGGACGUCAGAGAAUUCUCUUUGAACUUCAAGUUCUCGGACUCAGCUGUUUUGGGCUGAAAACCGUGGUUCAUGAGAACUUGAUAUAGAUCUUGAGCAAGCAGAAGGGUAACCUCACCUAUCUGUGAAUCAUCAGAGCAGAGGCAUUUCCAGAGCGAUGUUGCUCUGCCCGGUAACAACCCACAGUUCUUAGAAUUUAAUCUCAUAUCCAGAAUUUUAUUUCAGUCCAAAAAGACUAUCUGUCUUUUUGCCUUGGAUAGAGCUUUCAUUCAGAUGUUUGUAAAGCUGAUUUUCCUCUCCACUUCCAAAACCUCCCUCACUGUUUGACUUGGCUUCCAGUAUCUUUCUCAGUUAUUAGUUUUAAAACCGGUGACCAAUGCAACAGAGCUUUAACUCUCCCCAUCCCUCUCAUUUCCAUAAAAUCUCAGAAUCAUAGAACAUUUUAAGCUGGAAGUGACAUACGGGGAUGAAUGACUGAGUCCAACUCCCAGCAAAGGUUCUUAAUCCAGAUCUUUGUGGGUCCCUUUCAACUCAGGAUCUUCUAUAAUUUGAAAAAAUACAAACCUCCUGAAAUCCAUCCAGUUUCUCAGGCAGUGGGAUUUUCAGCAUGUAAGAAACCUGCAUUUUUGGCACAGAAACCCUCUGUGUGGCUAACACAGGGGAGCUCUGAAUAAUUUCUUAUCUAAAUCCUUCCUCUAGCAGAGCAGCACAACUUUUUUUUUCCUCAGUGAUGGCAGAUAUCCCAUCUGUACUGAAUCUAGUCAUGUGUAAUAUUUUCACUGUUAUGUUUUUGACGUUUUCUCACUUCUUCAAACAAGCUUGAGACAGCGGCGGUAGGACAAAAUGGUCAUUUCCUCAUUUAAAGCAUGUUUUUUUUCCCAUGGCUGGCCAAACUGCAACACUCCCUGUGCAGUGUCAAAAGCAAUGGAGUUUUCUUUAGCUGUCAUCAAAAAUAUUGAAGUAUGUUGGAAACUUCAUCUGUGCUGAAAUGUUUCUGUUCUGAGACAUUUCUUACUCAUUUUAGUUAUGGAACUCAGCCAAAGUAUGAAACUAGGUGAAAAUGUGAAGCAAGUAAAAAAUAGGGGAAAAACCCCCACGAUUUUCUGGGGGUUUGGGUUAUUCUAUAUAUGGCAAAAGGCACUGUUUCCUUCACUGCUUUCACAGUCAUCCUUCACUGCUUUCACAGCCACAUUUUCAGCUGUUCCCUUAGUAGAAUAAAGAUUAUUUCAAAUGCCUUUCUAA
Molecule: long non-coding RNA, 1886 nt
Organism: Cyanistes caeruleus (blue tit)
Lineage: Eukaryota; Metazoa; Chordata; Aves; Passeriformes; Paridae
Source: RefSeq, a predicted model, not a curated record